Molecule: unclassified non-coding RNA, 372 nt
Filed under: uncultured fungus
Lineage: Eukaryota; Fungi
Description: partial contains 5.8S ribosomal RNA and internal transcribed spacer 2
Rfam family: 5.8S ribosomal RNA (bases 1-133)
Source: RNAcentral
UGGCUCUCGCAUCGAUGAAGAACGCAGCGAAAUGCGAUAAGUAAUGUGAAUUGCAGAAUUCAGUGAAUCAUCGAAUCUUUGAACGCACCUUGCACCCUUUGGUAUUCCGAAGGGUAUGCCUGUUUGAGUGUCAUUUAAUUCUCAAUCCUAACAAGUUGUUAUGACGAGUUAGGUAUUGGACUUGGAUUUGCUGGCUUUCUUAGUCGGCUUUUCUUAAAUGCAUUAGUGGUUUAUCGAUCCCCAUUAAUUGGUGUGAUAAUAUUAUCUGCAUCAACCGAAUGGCUAGGUCAUGUAAUGAUAGACUGCUCUCUAACCGUUCGUAACGAACAAUUUGAACCAUUUGACCUCAAAUCAGGUAGGACUACCCGCUGA